Molecule: ribosomal RNA, 880 nt
Filed under: Eunotia sp.
Lineage: Eukaryota; Bacillariophyta; Bacillariophyceae; Eunotiales; Eunotiaceae
Description: partial 28S ribosomal RNA
Rfam family: Eukaryotic large subunit ribosomal RNA
Source: RNAcentral
AAGCAUAUAAUUAGGCGGAGGAAAAGAAACUAACCAGGAUUCCCCCAGUAAGGGCGACUGAAGCGGGAAGAGCUCGUAGUGUGAAUCGGUUCGCCGAAUUGUGGUUCGUUUGCGUUACUGGCCGGGCCAAGUCCCUUGGAACAGGGCAGCCGAGAGGGUGAGACUCCCGUCCGCCCGGCCUUUGGAGCGAGCGAGAACGAGUCGAGUUGUUUGGGAUUGCAGCUCGAAGUGGGUGGUAAAUUCCAUCUAAGGCUAAAUAUUGGUGGGAGACCGAUAGCGUACAAGUACCGUGAGGGAAAGAUGCAAAGAACUUUGAAAAGAGAGUUAAAGAGUACCUGAAAUUGCUGAAAAGGAAGCGAAGGAAACCAGUGCCUUGCUUGGUCAUACUUCCCCAAUCGCUUGCGGUUGGGGCGCUGUGGCCGGCACGAGUCGGGCUUGGUUGGGACUGCCGGAAGGGCGCACGGGGAGUUGACCCGUGUUGCUGGCGGCGGUUGCGACUGAGGCUGACGAAAUGGUUUUCUUUUCCCCGUCUAGAAACACGGACCAAGGAGUCUAACAUAUGUGCGAGUACAGGGGUGGCAAACCCCCGUGCGCAAUGAAAGUGACAGUGGUUGCGACCCAAUCCGCCGGCCUCAAUCCCUCGGGAGAACGGUCUGAGUGUGAGCAUACAUGUUGGGACCCGAAAGAUGGUGAACUAUGCCUGAAUAGGGUGAAGCCAGGGGAAACUCUGGUGGAGGCUCGUAGCGAUUGUGACGUGCAAAUCCAUCGUCAAAUUUGGGUAUAGGGGCGAAAGACUAAUCGAACCAUCUAGUAGCUGGUUCCCUCCGAAAUUUCCCUCAGGAUAGCUGCGAUCGAUUUUCUCAAUUUUAUCAGGUAAAGC